RNAcentral lists this ribosomal RNA (253 nucleotides) under uncultured bacterium. RNAcentral's name for it is "partial 16S ribosomal RNA". It matches the Rfam family "Bacterial small subunit ribosomal RNA", at positions 524 to 776 of the family's 1533-position model. The record is from RNAcentral.
UACGGAGGGUGCGAGCGUUGUCCGGAAUUACUGGGCGUAAAGAGCUCGUAGGUGGUUUGUCGCGUUGUUCGUGAAAACCGGGGGCUUAACCCUCGGCGUGCGGGCGAUACGGGCAGACUUGAGUACUGCAGGGGAGACUGGAAUUCCUGGUGUAGCGGUGGAAUGCGCAGAUAUCAGGAGGAACACCGGUGGCGAAGGCGGGUCUCUGGGCAGUAACUGACGCUGAGGAGCGAAAGCGUGGGGAGCAAACAGG